This 455-nucleotide ribosomal RNA is filed under the name Sceloporus jalapae. Its description in RNAcentral is "partial 16S ribosomal RNA". It matches the Rfam family "Bacterial large subunit ribosomal RNA", at positions 1923 to 2574 of the family's 2925-position model. The record is from RNAcentral. Lineage: Eukaryota; Metazoa; Chordata; Lepidosauria; Squamata; Phrynosomatidae.
UUUAACGGCCGCGGUACUCUAACCGUSCAAAGGUAGCGUAAUCACUUGUCCUUUAAAUAAGGACCGGUAUGAACGGCUAAAUGAAGGUAAAUCUGUCUCCUUUAAUUGAUCAGUGAAACUGAUCAACCAGUACAAAAGCUGGUAUAAAUCCAUAAGACGAGAAGACCCUGUGGAGCUUUAAAUUUCAAACCAAAUACAACACAAAACAUCUAUGAUGGUUGAAAAUCUUAAGUUGGGGCGACUUCGGAAACAAACAAAACUUCCGAGCAUAAGAAUAUUAAUCUUCCCAAGACCAACAAGUCAAAGCAAAACUUGACCCAGUAAGACUGAUCAUCGAACCAAGUUACCCCAGGGAUAACAGCGCAAUCUUCUUCAAGAGUCCCUAUCGACAAGAAGGUUUACGACCUCGAUGUUGGAUCAGGACACCCAAAUGGUGCAGCCGCURUUUACGGUUC